This 468-nucleotide ribosomal RNA is filed under the name uncultured bacterium. RNAcentral describes it as "partial 16S ribosomal RNA". It matches the Rfam family "Bacterial small subunit ribosomal RNA", at positions 28 to 507 of the family's 1533-position model. The record is from RNAcentral.
GACGAACGCUGGCGGCGUGCUUAACACAUGCAAGUCGAACGGAAAGGCCCUGCUUUUGUGGGGUGCUCGAGUGGCGAACGGGUGAGUAACACGGGAGUAACCUGCCCUUGACUUUGGGAUAACUUCAGGAAACUGGGGCUACUACCGACUAGGAGCUCCUGCUGCAUGGUGGGGGUUGGAAAGUUUCGGCGGAAGUGGAUGGACUCCCGGCUAACUAGCUUGUUGGUGGGGUAGUGGCCUACGCAGGGUUUGACGGGUAGCCGGCCUGAGAGGUUGACCGGCCACAUUGGGACUGAGAUACGGACCAGACUGCUACGGGAGGCAGAAGGGGGGAAUAUUGCACAAUGGGCGGAAGCCUGAUGCAGCAAUGCCGCGUGCGGGAUGACGGCCUUCGGGCUGUAAACCGCUUUCGGCUGUGACGAAGCGGGAGUGACGGUAAUGGGUAAAGAAGCACCGGCUAACUACGUG